This 23-nucleotide microRNA is filed under the name Bombyx mori (domestic silkworm). RNAcentral describes it as "bmo-miR-3276". Lineage: Eukaryota; Metazoa; Arthropoda; Insecta; Lepidoptera; Bombycidae. The record is from miRBase by way of RNAcentral.
UAUGAUUGGUGUUUGUGAAAAGU